UCUUCCCUGCAACUCUCCCUCAUCGCUCCUUCAGACUAGCGCCAGCAGCAAUUAGCACCUGGUGGAACUGUGCAUCCGCUGAGUUCAUCAUAUGAAGUACUUCUCUGUGCAAUUCAGAUUAUCCCAACUGAGUUGUGCAUCUACAUAGCAGAGAUCUACGCCUCAUGAAAUGUGGUGCUCAUCACAUUCAUCAACAUUCAAAAAGAAAUGUGAGCUAGAUUCCAGAAAAUUGACUUUGAGAUACAAGACAGAAAAAAAGUGCAGCCUACUUAUCAGCUUGAGGUGCGGUUACAAGAGACCCAACAUUGGGUUUGUGCAGCACGUCCGCCCACAGCUGCUGGGGGCCCUGCAGGGUCCUUGUGAGUUGGGGUCUGCUGGUCAAUGAGUGCUGCUCUUCAGCUCGACGCCCUCUGCUGAAUACUAACCUGGAGCUCACCUCUGAAAGAGCCAGGCACGGAUAGACUGUAGGUUCAACAUCUCCUCUUCUCAUUCGUAAGCGCCUUCAGAAUUCACUGUUUCACUCUGUGCAUCCCUAACACACCUCCUUUCACUAUUCACCUCUCUUUGUAUGCCUCAAUGCAUACGUAAAGCACAGGACCAGGGUAGCACAACUGCCCAGGGCAAAGACCUAAAAAUAUAAGCAUCAGCAUUCCCUUACAUGAGGCUACACACACACAUGUGUGCUUGCUGUUCCAUGCAGAAAUUCCUUGAACUCCUCCUCAGUGUUUCCUGGAGCUCUUUGAGAUGUUCAAUUUUCUAAAUAAAUCUCUGUCUGCAGUCCCACUGAGUUCCAGCGGCCUUCCAUCUGAGGUACAAAUCUGACACUAAAUUGCUCUUGGUAUUUGGACACGUCAGUCUUAUUUAUUUAAGUUAAUUCAUGUAGCUUGGAAUGUAAAAUUUGAUUGUUUUGCAAAUUAAAUGUUCAUUCAUCAUCA
Poecilia latipinna (sailfin molly) is the source of this 935-nucleotide long non-coding RNA. RefSeq lists it as uncharacterized. The transcript has 3 exons. The record is from RefSeq and is a predicted model, not a curated record. NCBI's taxonomy places the organism in Eukaryota, Metazoa, Chordata, Actinopteri, Cyprinodontiformes, Poeciliidae.